AAGAGAGGAGAGCUCAGCGAGAAGGACCGCGUUGGAGAAGCAGGGCACGUGCAUGCAUGCAACUAGAGCUUAGCUAGUGUCAAUUCUUCCAUCUCUUGUGCCUGGCCGGGAUCGAUCUUAUAUACCGAGCUUAAUUUGGCACCUAUUGGAUGCUGCAUGCAUGUGUUCUUCUCCUCCAUCACGGUCUUCAUUUCUCUCGCUUUCUUUAC
Molecule: non-coding RNA, 209 nt
Organism: Brachypodium distachyon (stiff brome)
Lineage: Eukaryota; Viridiplantae; Streptophyta; Magnoliopsida; Poales; Poaceae
Gene: MIR164B
Product: microRNA MIR164b
Exons: 1
Source: RefSeq, marked provisional